GCCGUUUCGCCGGAGAAGAUGGUAGUGUUUGAGAACGGCGAAAAACGACGCGGACAUGGGCCAAAACGACGCCACGGGAAUGUUUCUAGCGUUGGCGACGCGAACCACCCAGUAGAGGAAAGUGUCGUAUAUGAUUACUGUGGGUGGAAGGUGAAGACGGUUGAGAAAGUCUUCAAAGGGCGCUUCCAUUUUGGUCAUAACGGCUUCAAAGAAGGUGACGUAGUCGUUGGCUCGACCCUCUUCGGAGGGAAUAACGUUGGGGAUUGUGGCAAAUCGGAGGUUGUCGGGUUUGGAGUCGGAGUCGAUGAAGCCGAGCCAUUCUUCGGUGACGACGAAGGUUACCAGGAUUUGAGAGUUUUUGGAGAGGAGCAACUUGCAGAGGUUCAUCAUGGGAUUCACGUGACCUCGUCCUGGGUACGGCACCGCUACCACGUGGCAGACCAUGGUUGGUGGUAGUUGAACCGGAUGCCCCAUAGAUAUAAGAACAGUGCAACAAGCAGAGUAUGGAAAAAUGUGAACAGAGCACGUCACUUUUCAAUGAUCACUGCACACUCCUCUGCAAUGAUCACUGCACCCACCUCUGCAAUGUUCAGAUACAAGUCUUCAAUGUUCUUUGUUGAGUCAUAGUCUCUUUUAUACUCCACAACGAGUAUUAAAACACUAACUUUUUUGGUUUUUUUUUUUACAUUUGGUGUAAUUUUAUACAUAAAUUAUCCGGUAAAUUUUAAAAAAUUAAUUGAUAUGGGUAACUCAUGUUUGUAUGAUUCCAUUUCUUAUAACUAGUUAAGUGUAAGAAAUAAGAAAAAACAAUUGUUGAUAAGUUGAAAAUCUUGCAUUAUAUUAUAAUUAGAGAGAAGAAUUUUUUAUUAAAUGAAAUUAUUUUAGAAUUAUAUUGUAUUACAUCCAGUUAUAAAUUCUGCUGAUAUAUGUAUAUGGUGCAAUUAUCUAAGACAACAUUUUAUAAAAAAAAAUUGUGCGCAGGAAAUAUAAGUACCGAGAAAAAUAGUAUUAGAGUAGAAAUGAUACAGGAAAUAUAAGGAUCGAGAAAAAUAGUAUUAGAGUAGAAAUGAUACAUGGUACCUGAAUAUUUUAUUAUUAAAGUGAAAAGGCUAUAUAAAUAGAAAUUUAGUUAUUCAGGUUUCAUUUUAAAAAGAACUAUCAUCUCUAAAAACUCCUUUUUCCUUUCCUCUACCUUCUCUCUAAAAUCUCAACCUCCUCGUUCAUCUGUUUGACGAUCGGAGUCCACCAUUGGACUCUUGGCAGCGAGAUCUACAAUAUUGACCGUUCAGAAUCUUUCAUAGAGUAUGUUCAUUUUUUGUUCCCUUUUUCCUUUCCUCUCCCUUCUCUCUUGGAUUUUGACCUCCUCUUUCGUCAAUUUGAUGAUCAGAGUCUGCCAUUGGACUCCUGGCAGCGAACUCUACAAGAUUGACCGAUCAAAAUCUUAAAUAGAGUAAGUUCAUUCUUGGCUCUUUUUCCUUUGAGUUAGUUUUGAUCUGGUUGGGUUGCCUUUUAAUUUAAGUUUGCAUGUGAGGUUUUUAUCUUCAGAACUAGUCUCUGUUAGCUUAGGGUCCUAGUGAUGUAGUUAGAUUUGUGAUCAGGACUCUGUGGUGCAGGUUAGGGUCUUUUGGUGGGUUUGGAGCUCUUAGUGAGCAUCUGCUAAAGUCUAGGUAAAGGAAGCUAGUUUAAAAUCUUCAAUAGAACCCUACGUUAGAAGAUUUGAAUGUGUGAGUGUGACGUGAUCACCAAUUCCAAAUUUUGUUGCAAGAUUUCUUGUUUUGAGUAGAUUGUAGUUUGAUUGAAAUUGAAAGUGUUGUGAUUGAGAAUUUUUUGAUUUAAAUGGUUGUAGAAUUAGAAAUCAUAUAUAUAUAUAUGUAUAAAUGGAGAUAAUAACUCAAUGAUUCAAUGAGAGUGACUGUAUCAUGUUGAACAGGAACUACCAAUGUAAUAUGUAGAUUUAUAAUUUAUGAAUCGAAUGAGAUGUUGAUUUAUAAUCUGAUAGGUAUAUUAAGUUAUGCAGAAUUUUUCUGCAUAUUUCGCCCAAGCUAGCAAGUUCUAGCUCAAGCUAGAAAAUUAUGGGUGCUCCCUAGAGGAUUUUAGCUCAAGCUAGCGAAUUUUAGCUCAAGCUAAAAUUCUGGGUGCUCUGAGGAUUUUAGCUCAAGCUAGCGAAUUCUAGCUCAAGCUAAAAUUCUGGGUGCUCUCUGGAGGAUUUUAGCCCAAGUUAGCGAAUUUUAGCUCAAGCUAAAAUUCUGGGUGCUCUCUGGUGGAUUUUAGCUCAAGAUAGCGAAUUUUAGCUCAAGCUAAAGUCUAAAAUAAUAAUAAUAAUAAUAAUAAAUAAAUAAAAAUAAAAUAUAUUAAACUAAUUUUUAUUUGCUUUUAAAAGAUUGAUUGAUUUAUUUAUAUAUAGUUUUUCUUAUAAAGUAUGUAAACUGUUAUUUCAUGUAUAGUUAAUUGAAAAUCUCUUUAAUUAGACAUUUAUAUGAUUAGUCAAUGAAUUGUUGUGUAUUUUGGAAAUUUUAAACAUUGGUAUGAUUUGAUUGUUUGAUGGUGGAUAUUUUGAGGUUUAAAAUAUGAAUUCUAAUCAAGACAUAGUAUUUUCAGGAAAGAAAAUACCGUGUUAAGAUUGUUUAGGAUGUGCAUUGACUAGAGAUUCGUCUAGAAGGAGAUAUCCUGACUCUCCUGAUAUAAUGGAAUCAUAUAGAUGAAGUUAUUCAGGUGGUGAGGGUCGAAAGAGGUUCAUAUGAAUAGGUAAGUUGUUUGAAAGAUAAUUAACUUGACCUGUUAUAUGAAUUAACCCUGUCAUACUAGGAGAGAGAUGAUAUUGAGAUUAAUUAUGCGCAUAGCUGUGUGGAUUUCACAGUGAUGUAGUAUGACAGGUGCAGAUCUCUGAGUUUAAGUCAACGCACGAGUCUUUCGGAAGUAGAGUCAAGUGUCUAUGUGUUAUGAGUCAGUAGAAGUCUGACAUGAGAAAGAUGAAUAUUGCAAUUGUUGAUAGGCACUUGAUGGUUAUGUGAAAUGCAUGAGAAAUGAUGAAUUUAUGUGGAUGUUUAAACUCAUAUUUGUGUUAUAAGUUUUAAAAAUACCUAGCUUACCCUUUGUUUUGUUUUGUGGUUGUUUUUCUUUGAUCUGUGAUGAUCGUGUAUUUUACACGGGAGCAGAUGAUGUUACAGGUGAUAAAGUUUCUCGGUGAGAAGAUGGAUAAUGGAAAAUGUUUAUUUUUCUUUUAAAAUUUUGUUUUAAAAUUUAUGUAAAUGUUUCAAGUCUUAUGAAGAGAGAGAUAAUUUGAAACAUUAUAAUAAUGAAAUUUUAGAUAUAUUUGUAUUAUGUUUAUAUAUUUAUUUUAAUAUUUCAUACAGAUUAUGGUUAUAGAUAUGAAAAAAAUAUAGGAUGUUACAGGAAAUUCCACUUAUUUUUAUUUUAAUAUUGACACAAUUUUAGUGUAUUAAUUUAAGUAUAUUAUGAUGUAAGUUCAAAGUUAUGCAAAAAUAAUAAAUUUUUAAUAUCAUCUUAUUUGAAUUAAAAUAGUGUGAAGAUAAUAUGAUUUGAGUUGUGCUUUUAUAUUUUAUUGAAGUGGUUUACCAUUUACUCAAAUUUUGCAUGAGAUUUUUUUUUUUAAUUUUGAUUUAUAUUUUUUUAUAUUAUUAUUUAUAUUAAUAUUAAUACACACGUUUUUAGAAAAGUGAUUAAUAUGUUAUUAUUGAUUGUUUAUAUGAAGAUAUUAUUUGUGAAAUUUAAAAAUUAAUAUUGUAUAUUUAUUUAAAAAUAUAAGAUGAAUAAGUAAUUCUAUAAAAAAAUAAUAUAUGUUAAAAAUACAAAAGUUAAUAUAAGAUUUAAGAUUAGGGAUAAUAUGGAAACUAGUUGUUUAAUUUAUGUAGUUAUAUAUUAUUAUUUGUUUGAUUAUUUUGUGGGAUAAUUAGAGGAAAUGAAGCUAUAAAAUAAUAGUACAAAAUAAAAAUAAAAAGAAAAUUAAUAAUAGAAAUUUGAAUUAAAUUUUAUUAUCAAUCAUUUCUACAUGGACAAUAGGUUGUACUAUAAUCUUCUUUCCUACAAUAAAAAUACUUUUUUAUUUAAAAUUAACUCAUCCAUUUUAUCAUGUGGUUCAUGUGACAUCGUCCUGGGUACGGUCCCGCUACCACAUGGCCUGGUUGGUGGGUGGUACUUGAACCGGAUGCGCCAUUGAGAUAAAAAAUUGUUUUAUUUUAAUUAUUUAUAAUUUUUUAAUUUUAAAAAUUAUUUUAACAUUUUAUAUUUUACUUAUAUUUUUGUUUAAAUUUUUUAUUUUUUUAUUAUAAAUAUUAAUAUUUUAAUGUCAAAAUAUCAUUUCUCAUUAAAACAAGAACAGUGAACCAAGCAGAGUAUUAAGUGAUGAGAGAACGUGACUAUUUAAUGAUCAGUGCACCCACCUCUUACCCAAGAAGUUCGCAGACAAGUCUUCAAUGUGCUCUUUUUGUGUCAUAGUCUUUCUUAUACUCCACAGUAUUAAAACACUAAUUUUUUGGAUUUCUUUUUAUACAUAAAUUAUCCUGUAAUUUAUAUAAUAAAGUUGUCUCAUGCAUGAUUUUAAUUUAUAUUAAAUUAUCUUAAAAUCGUGUCAAUCCUACAGGAUUUCAUUUAAAGAAUAUAUAAAAAUAAAAUUAAUCGUAAUCAGUAUAAUUGUUCACACAAUAAAAAAAAACAAACCUAAAGAGCAUCUAAGACAGGAAUGAUACAAAAGACCAAUGUUAAAUGUGUUGCAUCCCAGAGUGGCAUGGAGAAUCUGAAUCAAAUGUAAGUAAUAUUUCACUGUUUCAAACUCUCAUUAUGGUACCCAUUGUUGGGUGAGAAAUAAAAAAAAUUACUGUGUAUAAAGAAGACAUGAAAAUUAAGAGAAUAAAAAGUGAAAAAUAUAUAAAACUGUACCGACCAGGUAGUCGGGAGUGAUGACGUGGCAGCAAGCGAUAAUAUAGGCGUGUUGAAUGGGACACCUGGCUGACAGAAGGGAAGUACAUCGGGAAGUCUGUGUAGUCGCCAAGUGUUGGCUUGGCGUUCUCCGAUCUCUAGUAUAUGUAAACCAGCGGUCACCAACUUGCGUCGUAGUCGCCGUAUGUGAGUUAUGGGAGACCAGGUGGUUGGAGAUCGCCGAGAGGGGCACAUCGCCGAGAGAUCAGGAAGGCUUGCUUAGGGCCUUCAAGGGGUACGAGUACAAAGGACGAGGUUAUCAGAUGAUCAUUCCCUAGCCAGAGGUCGAGGCAAGGGAACAGUUUCCCAGAACAUGCAUGAUGUGCAAGUAAUGCAGAUCGUGAUAGCGGCAGGCGAGACCACAGAGAAGGUAUGCAUGGUGACACCCCAUGCUCGCCACUUAGAAGAGAUCGCGUUCCAAGGAAGCUAUGCACUGAGUUACUCCCUGCUUGGGUAACUUAGUCAAAUAGCUCGAAGAGUAGAGGUGACGCUCAGGUAGAAGGGAGGCUCCAGAUGGUGACACGUGUACAGCUGGAUGCGAGUCACGUGUCCAGAGGUGUAACCGUCAGGAGAGAGAAAAACGCUCAGGUAUAUAAGGAAUUCUAACGGACUUCUGAGGUACGCGCGUUUAGAACACUUCUUUACGCUUGUGAGAACACUUGAGUACGCUGAGAGAGAAUAUUGCAUGGUUCCUUGAGUUUUUAGCUUUUCUCUGAGUAUUUUGGUGAUUCCGUCACUGACUUGAGCGUCGGAGCGCGAUCGGCCGCAGUGGCGCCACUCUGUUUCUUCAGGUUCUUGCGAGGAUUUGAGACUUGAAGGACGGAAGCUAGCAUGGUGCAAAGCCGAUCCAGAAGGAGGUACCUUCGACGUGGCAAGACUCUUGCGCUCUGGUCAACCGGCAGGAUAAAAAACGAAGAGCAUUUUAAACUCAAAUUAUUACUAAUUUUAUUUAAAAUAAAAUUACAUAAUUAAAUAUAAUAUAGUAUGUUACGAAGUGAACUUUAAGCCUAACUCAACCCCAUAAAAUCGGCUCAUAAGAUUGAGGUUUGCACCCAGUUAUAUACAAUGAAAGACUCUAAUCUCUAGUCGAUGUGAGAUCUACAUCACACCCCCUCACGCCGAGGGUGAUAUAUAGAAGCUCGUGCGUGGGAUAACAUAUUAUAGGUGAUGGCCUGAUAAACCAAACAAAUACUCGGUAGGAUAGGAUCAAAAUGACUCUGAUACCAUGUUACGAAAUGGAUUUAAGCCUAACUCAACCUCAUAAUACCCGCUCAUGAGGUUGAGGUUUGCACCCAGUUAUAUAUCAAUUAAAAAAAAUAUAAUUUCAAUCACACUCAUCACAUCGUUCACAACUUUUAUAAACUUUUUUCACACUUUCUACUCUAUUUAUCUUAAUCCAAACACCCUAACUUUCUUCACAUUUUCUCUUCAAAUCAUUUCAAAUCUACUCCCUCAUAUCAACUCCAUGAUCCAAAUAAAAACUAUUGAAGCAUAGAGAAUCUGAAUCAAAUGUUAAUAAUAUUUGACUGUCCCUAUCAAACUCUCAUUAUGGGAGCAUGGAGAAUCUGAAUCAAAUGUUAGUAAUAUUUGACUGCCCUACCAAACUCUCAUUAUGGAAGCAUGGAGAAUCUGAAUCAAAUGUUAGUAAUAUACUGCCCUACCAAACUCUCAUUAUGGGAGCUUCAUGUAUCACACCACUCUCACUUACUAAACCCACAUUAUGGGAGUUUCAUGUAUCAGCCAACUCUCACUUUAGAAUUUUGGCUUCGUAAGAUCAGAAGUGGAAAAAAAUUUUGAUCCUUUUGGUGGGAUUCUUUACUUACAACUGAUUAAUUUUGUAUUGAAUUCAUCAUCAACACUUAGAUUUUUACUUUUUCAAUUACUUAUUUCUAUAAUAUGAUUAAUUCUCUUUUAUGACAUUGUUUUUAUAGAAAUAGAGUUUCAUUUAAUUUUGUUGAAGGUUGUGUUUUUCAUAUCUCAUCUUUAUGCCUGUAAUAUUGCUAUUGUUAUUUACUUUUUACAUAUGGACUUUAAAAUACCAGUGUUUUUUUCUCUUUUGCUUUUUAUAAAACAAUAUCAAUCCUUAGUCAUUCAUUAUACGGAGUACAUUUGCUUCUUCUCAUUUGGUUUUUGCAGAAAAUAUAAGAACUAGCAUGUGGGGAAUCUAAUUAGUGUUCACGGACAUCACUUUUAAAAAGCACACAGUAAAAGUAUGCACGGUCACCUCUUCCGUGAGACUACUUAACAUCCUAAGAUUUAAGAGAGAAACGAUAUUACGAGAAUGUGUGGAAAAAAUUUAUUAAAGUUGGUGAAUGAUGUGAUGAUUGUAAAUAUAUUUUAAUUAUUUUUUAAUGGUAUAAAUUAUAAGAUUACAAAUUUAUCUUUGUGUAUAAAAAAAUAAUUUUGUAUACAUUUUAGUUAGUUAAAAUAAUGUAAAAUUUUAAUUAUAAAUAAAAGAAUACAAGAAUAUAAAAUUAAAAUAAUAAUUAUUAAUAAUAUUAUUAUUUAAUACAUUUAUUUGAUUAUUAUUAAUUUAUUUAAUUUAUAUUUAUUAUCAUUAUUUUAAAAAUUUAUUUUAAUUAACAUUAUUAUUUUAUAAAUUAAUUUUACAUAUUAUUUUUAUUUUAAUAUUUAAACAUUUAUAUUAUUAAUAUUAAUACAAAAUUUACUGUUAUAAAUAUAUAAAUAUUUAUAUUAUAUUAUUAUAAAGCCUAAAAUUUUAAAUCAUGUAUUUUAUUAAUUCUGACUAAUAAGGAAAAAAUAGAUAAAAAAUAUAUGUACACUGCAUGAUUAAUUCAUAAGAAAUUUUAUGAAAAAAAUGAGGGCGUGCAUGUUACCACAUUCUUAAGUGGCUUUCUUACUUGGCUCAAUUCCCUAUCUAGCAUCAUUUACAUCUUUAUUUCCCUAUCUAGCACCCUUUUGUUUUUAUUUCCCUAUCUAACACUCUUUUAUUUUUUAUUUCCCUAUCUAGCACUAUUUUAAAAGUAAAUAAAUAAAUAAUAAAUUAUUUUUUUUAAUAAUUUUAAUUUUGAAUGCAUUAAAAAAUAAAUAUUUUUAAUGUUUAAAAUAAUUUGAAAUAUAAUUAAUGAAUGAAUAAAUAAGUUUUUACAAAAUAAAAAUAAAAAAGUAAUAAAUUAAAAAUGUUUACUUUAAAAUUAUUUUUUUUAAAAAUGAAGAAAAUAAAAAAUUAAACUCUACAACAACAUAAAAGUUGAAUCUAUAAACACAAAUUAGUAUUUAUUUUUAUUAUUAUUGAUGAUGUAAUCAUGUUAAUUUCAAAGUAAAAAAUACAUGACAUAUUUAUAAAAAAGAACAAUGUCAAUUAGUAUUAAUUAAUAGUGGACACAUAAAUAAUAUUGAAGUAUUUACCUAAAUGCAAAAUUCUAAAAAAAACUAAUACAAAUGUUACACUUAAUGCUUAAAAAUGAGAAGAAAAAAAUGCAAAAAUAAAUAAGUCUAGAAAAUAAAAACAACAACAAUAAAAUAAAAACAAAAACCAUAAAUAAAUAAAUAAAGAUUGCAGAAAAAAUAAUAAUAACUAAAAACAUAAAAGGUAUAAAAUAAAGAAAAAACAAAAUAAGAUAAAGAUAAAAGAUAUAAAAAAAAUCAAAUAAAUCAAAACAAGAUAAAUAUAAGAGAUAUAAGACGAUAUUAAAUAAGUAUAUGUUGAUCAUGAAAAGGAAAAUAAAUGAGAGAUGAUCAUUCAUUUAAUANNNNNNNNNNNNNNNNNNNNNNNNNNNNNNNNNNNNNNNNNNNNNNNNNNNNNNNNNNNNNNNNNNNNNNNNNNNNNNNNNNNNNNNNNNNNNNNNNNNNAUUGACUUUGGUUUUUUUUUAUAAAUAUGUCCUGUAUUUUUUACUUGAAAUUAACAUGAUUACAUCAUCAAUAAUAAUAAAAAUAAAUACUAAUUUAUGUUUAUAGAUUCAACUUUUAUGUUGUUGUAGAGUUUAAUUUUUUAUUUUCUUCAUUUUUAAAAAAAAUAAUUUUAAAGUAAACAUUUUUAAUUUAUUACUUUUUUAUUUUUAUUUUGUAAAAACUCAUUUAUUUAUUCAUUAAUUAUAUUUCUAAUUAUUUUAAACAUUAAAAAUAUUUAUUUUUUAAUGCAUUCAAAAUUAAAAUUAUUAAAAAAAUAAUAAUUUAUUAAAAAAAAUCAUUAUUUUUAUUUAUUUUUAAAAUGGUGCUAGAUAGGGAAAUAAAAAAUAAAAGAGUGCUAGAUAGGAAAAUAAAAACAAAAGGGUGCUAGAUAGGGAAAUAAAGUCAAAAGAAUGCUAGAUAGGGAAAUAAAAAUGUAAAUGGUGCUAGAUAGAGAAUUGAGCCUUCUUACUUCUCCCUCAUCUUUCUCCACACUUGUGAGAAGGAACCUUCACCUUCGAGCUAUCUACUUUUCGCCUAUAAUAAAAAAUAAAUUUAGAAUUAAAUGAUAUAAAAAAUAUUAAAAUAAUAAUAGUGGCAACUUAAUGUAAUUGUAUAGAAAUUGUGUGAAGAUAUCGUUACCUUAUUUCAAAAGCUAAGAAUUCAAACCAGUUUUACUUUCGCUGCAUAAAAAAUAUUAUUUUAUAAUUUUAUAUUGCAAGUUCUGUCCUUAUUUUGGAAAGCUAAGGUAUGAAACAUUCAAACUUGUUUCAUAUUGUCUAGAAAAAAAAAUAUUUUAUAAUUCAUACACAUAAUUAUUUGUUUAUAUUGUUUAUGUGAGGAGUUUAUGGUCAUUGAUCAAUUUAAAUGGUUUCGGAAGAUUUAAUUUUGUACUUAUAACAUGUGUUCUAAUUGAAGGUCUAAAUCACAAUUUAAUAUAUUUCUCAAUAACAAUUUAAUUAUAAAAGAAGAAAAUAAAAAACAAAAUAAAUUAACUAUUAUAAAUAAGUAAUUAAAAUCAACUUAAAUAAAGAAGUUUGAUUUUUUUCCUAUUAUAAAUUAAGAAAUUGAUUUAAUCAUAAUAGGAUUUUUAUGUGUUUUAACGUUCUUUCUUGAUAAUUAGUAGUUAUGAACAUUCAUUAAAUCUAAUGUUUUGUUUGGAUUAGGAGUAAGAAAGUUGAUUCAAAAUAACUUUUUUAACUUAGACAACAACUAUGAACAAGUGAGGAGCAAAUUCGACACAUGAAUUCCCGGUUUCAAUCCUUUCAAGGUUUUAUGAUUCAAUAUCUACCACUUGAAGCAGUAGCAGCUUCACAACCUAUUUUUCAGCAGCCAAAUACCCCACAACCAAAUACUCAACAGAAUCAGAUGCAAGAUAAUGAUGAUGAGCAAAAAAUUCACCUGGUCAAGAUUAUAAUAAUUAUUAGCUUCUUAAAAUCUUUGUAAUGACUUGAAUUUCCUUUUGUUAGAUAUUUUUUUUUUGGUUUGAAUGAAAUACAUUUGGAUAUUUUGAAUAUUUGGAAAUAGUAUUGUAUUCUGUCAUACUUUUCAUUUUAUGGACAGAUCUAAAUGUUGAUGAAUAUUUGUCUUUGAAUUAAUUCUAUUGAAAACUGGAAUGGUUUUUGGUAUAUGCAGGUGUGAUUCCAGUGCUUUCAAAUAUAUAUAUAUAAAGAAUUAUAAUUACAUACGUAUAUAUUUGUAUGUAAACCUACACACAGUUACAUACGGAUCUAUCUGUAUGUAAACAUACAAAUUUAUCCGUGUGUAAAUCUGCACACAACCGCAACCAUAACCGCCUUCGCAUCUAACUUAUCACCCUUAGAGGUUUCCUUCUUAUGGUCAUGGUUUUGAUGUUGGUCAAUCCAGUCAUUCAGAUCUUCCAUAACCAUCCACAUCCAAAGAUCAUCUUCACCACCUCUCACUUCAUUCUCCACAUCAACAUAUUCUUUACACAUAUAAUUUUUUACCUUCUCCUUCGAGUAUUUUUUCCACUCUACCAAAUAUUUUUGGAACUUCAGUAUUUACCCUUUUUUCUGAAUAUAAUCCAACAUCAUCCAUGCACUAUCGACCCACAAUGCCCUCACCAGGAUGUCAUAAUGAAGUCAAUAACGACGAUGAUGAACAUAUCUAGUUAUAUGACAAUAACGACGAUGACGAACGCUGAUGAUUCUCUUCCACCUCCACCUUCAUCUGAUCAUCAUCCUCCACGAAGACCACAUUGUGACACGUUUCCCAUAAAUAAUUUACUUCCAAUAUUUUAACUUUUUUAUUUAUUUUAUAUCUUGUAAUGAAUUUUAUUAAUUUGUCUAGUUAUAAUUAAUCUCUUCUCAUCAUUACGUGUUCUAUAAAACCAUUAUUUCCCUAUGUAUUUAUUUUCCAAUCCAUAACAACAAUUUUCUAUUUAUUUUCAAAAUACAUUAACAAUUCUCAUUUCUCUAUUUGUUUUCAAAUGCAAUAAAAUUUUUCUUCAUAUUUUUAUUAAUCAAAUAACCAAAUUAAUAUAUUACAUUACCGUCAAACAUAUCCAUACAUGAUUACCUAAUUUUUUUGUCACUUAAAACUAACAUCCUUAGAAAAUUAUUUAUCAAAUUAAUUUGAAAUAUUACAUAUGUUUAUUGAUUAUUUUUAAUAAUAUAGUAAUUGAAGCAUCCUACAUAUGUUUGUCGACCACUCUUUCUGAUGAUCACGUAAAUUUGGACUCCAACCAAAUUACAACUGUAAUGGUCAAUUCCAUUAAAGCAAACCCAUCCAUCACUGUGAAAAGUUUAAUCGCAGAAAUUAAAAGUCGUUAUGGUUAUUCUGUAACAUAUAAAACAAGCAUGGAUGACAAAACAAAAGGCGCUUGCCAUGAAAUUCGACGAUUGGGAUGAAUCCUAUAAUCAUCUUCCAAGAUGGUUGCAGGUGGUUCAAGAAAGUGUCCCUGGGACAAUUUUCGAAUAUGUAACUCAGCCUUUUGUUAUAGGCGAUGUUCAAGACAACUCGUGUAACAUCUUCGAACGAGUAUUUUGGGCUUUCAAGCCUUGCAUUGAUGACUUUAAUUACUGCAAGCCAAUAUUCCAAGUUAAGGGAACAUUCUUGACCGGAAAAUACCAUGAAACUUUGCUACUGCAAUUGGUCAAGAUGGCAACCGAAACAUAUUCUCUCUAGCUUUUGCAAUAGUUGAAGGUGAAACAAAAGAAGCAUUGAUCUAGUUCUUCCGCCUGUUGCGAUCACAUGUCAUACCACAACAAAAUAUCUGCAUGAUAAUUGAUAGAGGAAAGGCCAUUUUAUCAGCAUUAAAAUCUCCAUAAGUAGCUUGGGAAGGACAUGGUCUCCUAUCAGUAUAUUGCAUACGCCACAUUACAUCUAAUUUCAAUAAGAAAUUCAAAAAUGCCGAGGCGAAGAGACAAUUAAUAAACACGAGUAUUUAUAUCAAUUUAAUUGACUUAUAUUGAUUAUUCUUGUUGCAACACAAUCACUUUAAAUAAUUUAAUUUUGUACAUUUCACAGGUUAUGAAAUAAAACAACCAAUUGUUCAGGUAAAGUUGUUGGCUCUAAGAUCACAAUUUCAACAAGCUUUUGCCUGGAUAGAUCAAAUACCUUCGAAAAAAUUGACACAAGCAUAUGACGGAGAGGUAUGACCACAUGACAACAAAUUUAGCUUAGUGCAUGAACUUUGUAUUAAAGGGAGCACGAUCGUUACCCAUAUGUGCUCUUGUGAAGACAACUUUUGAAAGAACCAAAUCUUAGUUUGUUGAACGAGGGACGAAAAUAGAGUGCAUGUUACAAGCUGACCAUCAAUAUCCAGAAAAUAUUACUGUCUUGUUACAGAAAAAUGAACAACAAUCGACUAUGUGUCAUGUCCAAAACUACAAUAAACAAAAUUCAGAGUUAAUCAUGCCUUAAAAUCUAUGAAAUAUAACCCUUCUUUAACUCAUUCCAUCAACUCGUUACACGAAUUUUAAGAAGCAAAUACACUCUCAUGUACAUUAUUUAGUUUAUAUAUAUUUUCACAAACCAUAACUACUCCAUUUUUUCCCUCUCUUUUCUUUUAUCCAUUGCUGUAAAAUUUAAAUCAUUUCAGUAUAAAAAAGUGUAUUUAAAUAUGAUUAGAGAAUAACAGGAACUGGUACGGUAUAUAAGUUUUCUGAAAAAAGAAAUUGAAGGUUUAAAAUAAUAAAACCAACAUUCUUACUUUGGCUUGGCACCAUGUAAUAUAUUUGAAAGAAAAGCAGUGAUAUCAGUUUCUGAUGAUCCCCCACUUGCAAUUGCACUGUGGCAUAACUGUUUCAACUCUCUGCUUCUUUUCCUCAUCACUUCAUCACCAUCAAAAUCCAUGAAUUUUCUUAUAAGAUUAGCAAUUUCAUUUUUUCUGAUCAAAGUGUCCUUUUUUACCUCCUUCUUCACCCUCCACCCCACCUUCCAUUCCUCCACUAAAAACUUACCAUUAAGGGGUUGGUCCAUAAAUAUAGGAAAUGCCAAAAAAGGAACACCACUGAAAACACCUUCUCUAGUAGAAUUCCAGCCACAAUGAGACCAAAACCCACCAAUUGCAGGAUGCUGCAACACCCUCAAUUGGUCACACCAUGGCAAAACUAGUCCUCUAUCCCCACACAGCUCUUUCAACCUACCAUUUUCUCUGGGUUGCACCCACAAGAACCGAACACCACUAUCACCCACACCAGCAGCAAUUUCAUCAAACUGUUCAUUGGAAACAGAAAGAAAGCUCCCUUGAGAAAUGUACAACACAGAGGCAGAGGGUUGGUUGUCAAGCCACUGAAAGUAGCCAUGUUUAGAGGCAUCAAUGUGGCCAUUGGCAAAACAAGGAAUGGCAGGGCCAACAGUGUAAAUAGGUAUAGAGAACUCUGCUUUCAAAGCAUCAAUGGCUUGAGGCUCAAGUUCAUAUAUGGUGGGGAAUAACAGAUAUUGCGCUUUCUGCACCCACGGUAUAACAUUCAAAGCCAAUUCCAACAAUCUUCGACUACGCCAACUUUCAUCACUGAGUGGAAAAUCUGCCAGACGAAUUGAUGAGUUCCCCGGAAUAUAAUCCACACGUUUCUCACCAUCUUCUGCAACAAAUAUCUUACUUUUUAAUUAUCACAUCAAGAACUGAUAUGUAGAAAUUGAGUGGAGAAAAAAGUAAAUCAACCUUAGAAUCUUGUAGAUAGAUACACAUGAUAUUAUAGUAUAGAACAAAUUUACACAAUUUUGAUAGAUAGAAUAUUAACACAAGGAGAAAAUUUGCGAGUUCCAUUGCAAGACAUAUAUAUAGAAAAAUUACCAUCUUAUAUACCACAACUCACAAAAUCUCUAUUCAAAUUCAUAAUCUGAAUGCUAAAAAAAGAUUUACAUCCCAAAAUUUAAACUUCAGACCGAUAAACAGUUCUGCUAUUUUUUCCUAGUUAAGAGAAUGUGAAGAGAUUCAACUAACAGACAAAUCAAGUGGAAAAAUUUAAUAAAGUAGUGUAAUUUUCCUUCAAUUUUACCGAAAUUAUUGGGUUUUAUGAGAUUCGUUUACUCUGUUUUUCUGUUUUAACAGAGCCUAUAUAUAACUUGUAUUCCUUUCACAUUAUAAUAUGAAUAUAAUACUUUUUCUUCCAUCUUAUCCUUUACCUUUUUUCUCUUUUCCACCGCAUAAUCUAAUGCGUCCACCGCACAAUCACAAUUCAAUACAUGUGUCAUCUCUCACACACAAUUAAGCAGCAAGAAAGAUCAUUGUGCUGCAUAAUGUGGGUCAUGGAGACCAUAUUCCAAUAUGGUAUCAGAGCGGGUUAAAGUCCCGCUCUGCUUCCGCUAUUUCUUUUGUUCUUGAUUCUGCUUCUUGUUUUUUUGUUUGUGAUUCGUGAUGGAAGCUAACACUAGCCGCAGUAAAGAUCCCAUCCAGAAUCAAGCAUUAGUCAAGGAAGAGGAAAAUUCAGGUAUCAAAACAAUGGUAAGCAGUGUACACAUUGUCACAGAUUGAAUCAUACCAUAGAUGAAUGUUAUUUCAAGUAUGGGUUUCCCCCUUGGUAUAAACAAAAAGGUGAAAAGAAUGAAAGAGUGACAAACAGUGUUGUGAUGGAUAAGAAUAUGAAAGUUGAAGAGGAGCAAGAAAAUAAGUCAGACGCAAAUAACGAGAAUCAGUUCACACAAGGUCAGAUAUAUCAAAUCAUGCAACUUAUCCAAGAAACAAAGAAAGAUUCGACGCAUAAGGUGAACAAUUUUGUGAAUGAUUCUUCAGAUGAGAACAUGCGAAAGGUAAGAACAAUGAAAAAUCUUGGGUUUUAGAUACAGGUGCCACAGAUCAUGUGAAUUAUUCUAUAAAUAAUUUUUUGACUUUUCCUAGAAUAAAUCCUAUUCGCAUUAGUUUGCCAAAUGGUUCACAUGUUGUUGCUUACGAUGGAGCAGUAGCAUUAUUUGAAAACUUUUUCCUAUAUAACAUAUUAUAUGUACCAGAAUUUGCUUUUAAUCUUGUUUCUGUGCAAAAACUGGUUAAAAAUCAUAACUGUAAACUCACUAUUACUUCUGAGUUUUGUCAGAUUCAAAAUGCGGAAUCAUUGAAGAUGAUUGGAUGUGCUAGGCUGAACAAAGGAUUAUAUCUUAUAAAUACAUCAAAGCAUGAAGUCACUAUCAAUACUGCAGGAAAUUUGAAUCAUCCAGAUCAAAGUGUUACAAAGAAUAUUUGGCAUCACAGGCUGGGACAUCCAUCUAAUAGAGUUUUACAGCAUAUGAGUAACAUUUUUCCUUAUAGUAGUUUCUAUGAAAAUAAACCGUGUGAUGUAUGUCAUUAUGCUAAGCAGCACAAACUUUCUUUCACUCAUAAUAGUACUCGUACUAAACACAUAUUUGAUAUGAUUCAUGUGGAUAAAUGGGGCCCUUUUGGGACUGCUUCUAUGCAUGGUCACAAGUUUUUUCUUACCAUAGUGGAUGAUCACAGUAGGUUCACUUGGGUUUAUCCUAUGAUAGCAAAAUCUGAAACUAGGGAUGCCUUAAGUAGAUUCAUUACUCUUAUAUAUAAUCAAUUUAAUACUGUCAUAAAGGCCAUCCAUUCUGAUAAUGGAAAUGAGUUUGCUUGUGCCACGUUGUAUGAAAGUUUGGGUAUCCUACAUCAAACUAGUUGUGUGGAAACACCACAACAAAACUCUGUUGUUGAGAGAAAACAUCAGCACAUUUUGAAUGUUACACGUAGUCUUUUAUUUCAGUCUAAUUUGCCUGUUGCUUUUUGGUCCUAUGCUGCGACUUAUGCCACACAUCUAAUAAACAGAAUACCUACUGAUGUUCUCGAGAUGCAAACUCCUUAUGAUUUGUUAUAUAAAGAACAACCCAAUCUUCAAAAUUUAAAGGUUUUUGGUUCUUUAUGUUUUGCUUCAAGUUUGCAAAGAAAUAGAUCUAAGCUAGAUCCGAGAGCAAGAAAAUGUAUUUUCCUUGGAUAUAAAACUGGUAUGAAGGGUUAUGUUGUGUUUAAUGUUCAUAAUAAGGAGAUUUUUGUGUCAAGAAAUGUAAACUUCUAUGAACCUGUUUUUCCCUAUACUGAAAAUAAUAAUUGUAACAAAGAAAAGGGUAAUCAGCAAAUUGAUGCUUUUGAUUUUAAUUUUGAACCUGUUGACACGAAUGAGAGUUGUCAUAUUGAUCAAACUGAGGAGAAUAUUACUGAAGAAAACAGCUUGCGAAGGUCUGAUAGACACAAAAGAUCUCCUAGCUAUCUCAAGGACUAUCAUUGCCAACUUUCUAGUCACAUUGACACCAAACGACUAAAUCAUUAUGGUAAAGUUCUUCAUUCCCUAUCUAUAUAUCUUGAUUAUGGCAAUCUAACUACUAAACACCUUAACUAUGUUUUAGCCAUAUCUUCUAAUGAAAAGAGCCGCAUAAUUACAAUGAAGCUAUACAAAAACUUGAAUGGUGUGAAGCCAUGGAAAAGAAAAUUAAAGCCUUGGAAGAAAAUGAAACAUGGAUUCUCACUGACCUUCCCCACGGCAAGCAACCCAUUGGAUGUAAGUGGGUGUACAAGAUAAAAUACAAUGCGAAAGGUGACAUAGAAAGGUACAAGGCAAGACUUGUCGCGAAAGGGUAUACGCGAAAGGGUAUACACAACUAGAAGGAAUAGAUUACUUGGACACUUUUUCUCCUGUGGUCAAACUUACAACUAUAAGAAUGUUGCUUGCCAUUGCUGCCACAGAGAAUUGGCACCUUAAACAACUAGAUGUGAACAAUGCGUUUCUGGAUGGGGAUCUAAAUGAGGAAGUCUACAUGCUUCCUCCACCUGGCAUCAAGGUUAAAACUGGACAGGUUUGCAAGCUAGUAAAAUCAUUAUAUGGUUUGAAACAAGCAAGACGACAAUGGUUUGCUAAGCUUACUUCAUCUCUUAACAAAAUUGGUUUCACUCAAUCUGUUAAUGAUCAUUCAUUAUUCAUAAGAAACUCUGAAAACAGUUUUACUAUAUUACUGGUAUAUGUGGAUGACAUUAUUCUUGCAGGAAAAUCUAUAUCAGACAUAGAACAAGUUACACGACACCUAGACAAAGUUUUUAAAGUAAAAGACUUGGGCGAUUUGAAGUUCUUUCUUGGUCUCGAGAUAGCCAAAUCUAAUAAGGGCAUUCAUGUUUCGCAAAGGAAAUAUGCUCUAGACAUCAUCAACGAUGUUGGUCUAAUUGUUGCUAAACCUUGUGCCACACCUAUGAUGAAGGAUACAAAGAACAUGUUUCGAGAAGGAAUUCCCAUAAAAGAUGUUACUGCUUAUCAAAGAAUCAUUGGGAGGCUAAUAUAUCUUACAAAUACCAGGCCCGACAUAAGCUAUUAUGUCCAGUUUCUAAGUCAAUUCCAGCGGGCACCAACUUCAGAACAUCACAGUGUUGCACACCAAGUUCUACGCUACAUUAAGGGAACUCCUGGACAAGGGCUUUUCUUCUCUGCCAGUUCUGAUCUCCAGCUUAAAGGUUUUUGUGAUUCAGAUUGGGCAAGCUGUCCACAAACUAGGUGAUCAACAACUGGUUUUUGUGUUUUUCUGGGCUAUUCGCCGAUUAGCUGGAAAUCCAAGAAACAGUCUACUGUGUCGUGAUCAUCAUCCGAAGCAGAAUAUCGUGCCCUCGCUACUUUAACCUGUGAGAUUCAGUGGCUGAAGUAUUUGAUCGAUGAGUUCAAGAUAAAGGUCCAGACUCCAGCUAUUGUCUAUUGUGAUAAUCAAUUCGCAAGGUAUAUAGCUCACAAUCCAAGCUUCCAUCAAAAACCGAAGCACAUAGAAAUAGAUUGCCAUGUCGUACGUGAAAAACUACAAUCCAAACUUUUCCAGCUGCUGCCAAUCUCCUCCAACCAUCAAACUGCUGAUGUUCUCACAAAACCACUUGAACGUGGUGAUUUUAUUUAUGCUAUUUCCAAGCUUGGGUUGAUCAACAUCUACCGCUAAGCUUGAGGGGAAUAUUGGGUUUUAUGAGAUUCGGUUACUCUGUUUUUCUGUUUUAAGAGAGCCUAUAUAUAACUUGUAUUCCUUUCACAUUAUAAUAUGAAUAUAAUACUUUUUCUUCCAUCUUAUCCUUUAUCCUUUUUCUCUUUUCCACCGCACAAUCACAAUUCAAUACAUGUGAAAUCUGUCACACACAAUUAAGCAGCAAGGAAGAUCAUUGUGCUGCAUAAUGUGGGUCAUGGAGACCAUAUUCCAAUAGAAAUGGACAAUUCCUAAAAGAAUUAGGAACAUUACCAACCUGGAUAAGUUGUGCUUGCAUGAGACAAUUUCAUUAUAAAGCAAGCAACUUCAUUAUAAAGAAGUCAUGUUACCUAAAGAAGACUUUCAAUCCCCCCAAUUGACCAACACGACGCAAAAGUGGUGUGACUCAUGCACAACUUUAAUCACAGUUAGAAUGAUGAAUACAAAGCUACUAAAUAUGACCCUCAAAGAAGACUUAGAAAACAAAGGAGAAGAUUACCUUGUGGUAGGUCUCUCAUAAAUAAAUUAUUUUCCUAAUGUAACAUUAUUAUGCUCAAAUUUAAUUUUAAUUUCCUUUCUUAUAUUAAUUUCCAUUCUUAACUUUCCUCUUAUUGUUUUUACCGUAAAAUUAUAAAUUGCUUUUUUUUUUCACUCUUCUACUAAAUAAUCAAACAUAAAGAAAUAUAUAAAUACAUAAAACUAAACUAUUUAAUUUCCAAGCUAACCCUAGUACUAUUUAAUUUCCAUGCAAAUCAUAACCAUAACAUAAUUAUACGAAAAUAAGCAUAUCAAGAUUUGGUCAUCUAAAACCUAAAGGAAAAGUUCAUAUUUUUGUAUCUAAAACUAUAAAAACCUAAAAAAAAACUAACACAAAAAAGUCGUGCAUGAUAAAAUGAUAUUUGUUAUUCUGAAGUAACAUAUGCUUGACUAAACAACUCAAACAAUUUUUAAAACAAACUUAAUGUAUCAUUUGUUGGGCUUCUCUAGUAAAAAGAAGUUGCCUCGAGCAACAUAUGUCCUUUUAACAAUUUACAAUUUUAUAUUCUGUUAAUUCAGACUUAAAUAUAAACUUAAUAAAAUAUUAUUUUUUAUUGUUAAGUUGCUCAAACAAAUUUUAAGAAACUCUACCAUACGCUAAGAUUGUAAAUUUAAAAAGAGUGUAAAUUUUCAACGAAAACUUCUAGAAUUAAAAAUGAAAAAAAUUCAAAUUGUUUACUGUUUUUAAUUCUUCUAAAAUGGGGGUGGAAAAAUUAAAAUCGAUUUUUCGGGAAUAGGAAAGGGCAGAUCCUCUUUCAUCAGCCAAACUGAUAAAAAAACAAUUCCAAGGGUGAAGAUGGUUCUAUUGGACCAACCCUAAUGAUUAUUAUAAUAAUUAAUAAAAAUAAUUAACUGGCUACAUUUAAUUCUUGUAGAGAGAUUGGUGAGUGAAGCUCUAGAACAGUCAUGGUAAUUUUCAAACAUGGUUUUGUGAGGGUAACUGACCUGAUACGUUUACAGGGUAGUGGCCGUUUCGCCGGAGAAGAUGGUAGUGUUUGAGCACGGCGAAAAACGACGCGGACAUGGGCCAAAACGACGCCACGGGAAUGUUUCUAGCGUUGGCGACGCGAACCACCCAGUAGAGGAAAGUGUCGUAUAUGAUUACUGUGGGUGGAAGGUGAAGACGGUUGAGGAAGUCUUCAAAGGGCGCCUCCAUUUUGGUCAUAACGGCUUCAAGGAAGGUGACGAAGUCCUUGGCUCGACCCUCUUCGGAUGGAAUAACGUUGGGGAUUGUGGCGAAUCGGAUGUUGUCGGGUUUGGUGUCGG
This 19963-nucleotide long non-coding RNA is filed under the name Phaseolus vulgaris (common bean). RNAcentral describes it as "long non-coding RNA (PVUL_LNC001898)". Lineage: Eukaryota; Viridiplantae; Streptophyta; Magnoliopsida; Fabales; Fabaceae. The record is from RNAcentral.